GCAAACGGUUCCAAGACGAGGUGGGACACCGAGGCUUUCUGUAACAGGGGAAUAGACGCACUCAAUGCUGGUGGCUGUUGACUUGUAUUUCUCUCUAACAACUUAAAUCACCACUUUGCUUCAUCCAUCUAUAAAUAAGGUCUUCUUCAGUUUCAUAAAUGCAUAGAAAAUUAACAAGUUCAAAUUCCUUCUUUUCAUAUUCAUCUCUUUCAUUUUGAAUUGCAACUUUAUCCUUCCUAAAUUCCUCAACCAUGAACCACCCAUCAGGACAGCCUCAAAAUGAACUUCCUUGGUCCGCCGGAUUCUGCGAUUGCUGCUCUGACCUGAAAACUUGUUGCAUUUCAUACUGGUGCCCAUGCAUCACCUUUGGCCAGAUUGCUGAGAUUGUUGAUAAAGGGUCGACUUCAUGUGGGGCAAGUGGGGCACUAUACACAUUAAUAAUGUUCGUCACCGGAUGUGGGUGCUUAUUUCUUGCUGCUACCGAUCCAAACUGAGAAAGCAGUAUAACUUGAAAGGAGGCAAUUGUGGCGAUUGCAUGCGUCAUUUCUGCUGCGAGCCUUGUGCUUUGACACAAGAGUAUCGUGAGCUCCAGAACCGUGGAUUCGACAUGUCUAUCGGUUGGCAUGCAAAUGUGGAGAAGAACCCCGGGCUGGCGAUGGCUCCAGCGGUAGAAAAAGGCAUGAGCAAAUAGAUGAUGAUGAUGCAUUAAUAUCAUCUUUAUAUGUAACACUUAAUUCCUUUGCUUUCCAUAAUUGGAUGAUUGUACGGCUUGCCAAUUGAAUUUUCAAGUUAUGUAUGUUUGUGAUUGUCAAAAUAUAUUAAUAAAAACUGUUGCUAUUCAUGUUA
RNA transcript from Gossypium arboreum, 846 nucleotides. It is a transcript of the gene named protein PLANT CADMIUM RESISTANCE 2-like, with no coding region annotated. NCBI's taxonomy places the organism in Eukaryota, Viridiplantae, Streptophyta, Magnoliopsida, Malvales, Malvaceae. The record is from RefSeq and is a predicted model, not a curated record. The transcript has 4 exons.